AACGCGAAGAACCUUACCAAGGCUUGACAUAUACCGGAAACGGCCAGAGAUGGUCGCCCCCUUGUGGUCGGUAUACAGGUGGUGCAUGGUUGUCGUCAGCUCGUGUCGUGAGAUGUUGGGUUAAGUCCCGCAACGAGCGCAACCCUCGUUCUGUGUUGCCAGCGGGUUAUGCCGGGGACUCACAGGAGACUGCCGGGGUCAACUCGGAGGAAGGUGGGGACGACGUCAAAUCAUCAUGCCCCUUAUGUCUUGGGCUGCACACGUGCUACAAUGGCCGGUACAAUGAGCUGCGAUACCGCGAGGUGGAGCGAAUCUCAAAAAGCCGGUCUCAGUUCGGAUUGGGGUCUGCAACUCGACCCCAUGAAGUCGGAGUUGCUAGUAAUCGCAGAUCAGCAUUGCUGCGGUGAAUACGUUCCCGGGCCUUGUA
Molecule: ribosomal RNA, 427 nt
Filed under: uncultured Actinomycetes bacterium
Lineage: Bacteria; Bacillati; Actinomycetota; Actinomycetes
Description: bacterial SSU rRNA
Rfam family: Bacterial small subunit ribosomal RNA
Source: RNAcentral